CCUACGGGGGGCUGCAGUGAGGAAUAUUGGUCAAUGGACGAGAGUCUGAACCAGCCAAGUAGCGUGAAGGAUGACUGCCCUAUGGGUUGUAAACUUCUUUUAUAUGGGAAUAAAACGUUCCACGUGUGGGAUUUUGUAUGUACCAUAUGAAUAAGGAUCGGCUAACUCCGUGCCAGCAGCCGCGGUAAUACGGAGGAUCCGAGCGUUAUCCGGAUUUAUUGGGUUUAAAGGGAGCGUAGGUGGAUUGUUAAGUCAGUUGUGAAAGUUUGCGGCUCAACCGUAAAAUUGCAGUUGACACUGGCAGUCUUGAGUACAGUAGAGGUGGGCGGAAUUCGUGGUGUAGCGGUGAAAUGCUUAGAGAUCACGAAGAACUCCGAUUGCGAAGGCAGUUCACUGGACUGCAACUGACACUGAGGCUCGAAAGUGUGGGUAUCAAACAGGAUUAGAUACCCGUGUAGUC
This 460-nucleotide ribosomal RNA is filed under the name uncultured bacterium. RNAcentral describes it as "partial 16S ribosomal RNA". It matches the Rfam family "Bacterial small subunit ribosomal RNA", at positions 338 to 795 of the family's 1533-position model. The record is from RNAcentral.